Molecule: transfer RNA, 76 nt
Filed under: Hyphomonas sp.
Lineage: Bacteria; Pseudomonadati; Pseudomonadota; Alphaproteobacteria; Hyphomonadales; Hyphomonadaceae
Also listed under: 2 other names
Description: tRNA-Lys
Rfam family: tRNA
About the family: Transfer RNA (tRNA) molecules are approximately 80 nucleotides in length. Their secondary structure includes four short double-helical elements and three loops (D, anti-codon, and T loops).
Source: RNAcentral
GUGCCCUUAGCUCAGCUGGUAGAGCAACUGACUUUUAAUCAGUAGGUCGCAGGUUCGAACCCUGCAGGGCACACCA